This 253-nucleotide ribosomal RNA is filed under the name uncultured bacterium. RNAcentral's name for it is "partial 16S ribosomal RNA". It matches the Rfam family "Bacterial small subunit ribosomal RNA", at positions 524 to 776 of the family's 1533-position model. The record is from RNAcentral.
UACGUAGGGGGCAAGCGUUGUCCGGAUUUAUUGGGCGUAAAGAGCGUGUAGGCGGCCAAGCAGGUCCGCUGUGAAAACUCGAGGCUCAACCUCGAGACGUCGGUGGAAACCGUUUGGCUAGAGUCCGGAAGAGGAGAGUGGAAUUCCCGGUGUAGCGGUGAAAUGCGCAGAUAUCGGGAGGAACACCGAUGGCGAAGGCAGGUCUCUGGGCCGAUACUGACGCUGAGGAGCGAAAGCGUGGGGAGCGAACAGG